AGCCCACCAAGGCUGAGAUCGGUAGCCGGCCUGAGAGGGCACACGGCCACACUGGCACUGAAACACGGGCCAGACUCCUACGGGAGGCAGCAGUGGGGAAUCUCGCACAAUGGGGGAAACCCUGAUGCAGCGACGCCGCGUGAGCGAUGAAGCCCUUCGGGGUGUAAAGCUCUUUCGGCAGGGAAGAUUAUGACGGUACCUGCAGAAGCAGCUGCGGCUAACUACGUGCCAGCAGCCGCGGUAAUACGUAGGCAGCAAGCGUUGUUCGGAGUUACUGGGCGUAAAGGGUGUGUAGGCGGUUGCUUAAGUUUGGUGUGAAAUCUCCCGGCUCAACUGGGAGGGUGCGCCGAAUACUGAGUGACUAGAGUGCGGGAGAGGAAAGUGGAAUUCCUGGUGUAGCGGUGAAAUGCGUAGAUAUCAGGAGGAACACCGGUGGUGUAGACGGCUUUCUGGACCGUAACUGACGCUGAAACACGAAAGCGUGGGUAGCAAACAGGAUUAGAUACCCUGGUAGUCCACGCCCUAAACGAUGCACAUUUGGUGUGGGUCAUUCAGUUGAUCCGUGCCGGAGCUAACGCGUUAAAUGUGCCGCCUGGGGAGUACAGUCGCGAGGCUGAAACUCAAAGGAAUUGACGGGGGCCCGCACAAGCGGUGGAGCAUGUGGUUCAAUUCGACACACGCGAAGAACCUUACCUGGGCUCGAACGGCCGGCUAACGGCGGUGGAAACAUCGCUACCCCGCAAGGGGGUCCGGUCGAGGUGCUGCAUGGCUGUCGUCAGCUCGUGUCGUGAGAUGUUGGGUUAAGUCCCGCAACGAGCGCAACCCUUGUCCUGUGUUGCCAUGCCGAAAGGCGGAACUCGCAGGAGACCGCCAGCGAUAAGCUGGAGGAAGGUGGGGAUGGCGUCAAGUCCUCAUGGCCUUUAUGUCCAGGGCUACACACGUGCUACAAUGGCCGGUACAAAGCGUCCCAAACCCGCGAGGGGGAGGCAAUCGCAAAAAACCGGUCUCAGUUCGGAUUGCAGGCUGCAACUCGCCUGCAUGAAGCUGGAAUCGCUAGUAAUGGCAGAUCAGCACGCUGCCGUGAAUACGUUCCCGGGCCUUGUACACACCGCCCGUCACAUCACGAAAGUGGAUUGUACUAGAAGUCUGCAGGCUGACCCGCAAGGGAGGCAGCGGCCCAAGGUAUGAUCCAUGAUUGGGGUGAAGUCG
Molecule: ribosomal RNA, 1209 nt
Filed under: metagenome
Description: bacterial SSU rRNA
Rfam family: Bacterial small subunit ribosomal RNA
Source: RNAcentral